RNAcentral lists this ribosomal RNA (905 nucleotides) under Erwinia sp. OLTSP20. RNAcentral's name for it is "bacterial LSU rRNA". It matches the Rfam family "Bacterial large subunit ribosomal RNA", at positions 465 to 1378 of the family's 2925-position model. Lineage: Bacteria; Pseudomonadati; Pseudomonadota; Gammaproteobacteria; Enterobacterales; Erwiniaceae. The record is from RNAcentral.
GCUAAAUACUCUCUAGUGACCGAUAGUGAACCAGUACCGUGAGGGACAGGUGAACAGUACCCCGGAAGGGGAGUGAAAUAGAUCUUGAAACCGUGUGCUUACAAGUAGUCAGAGCCUGUUAAUGGGUGAUGGCGUGCCUUUUGUAGAAUGAACCGGCGAGUUACGAUUUGAUGCAAGGUUAAGCAGUAAAUGUGGAGCCGUAGCGAAAGCGAGUCUGAAUAGGGCGUUGAGUAUUUGGUCGUAGACCCGAAACCAGGUGAUCUACCCAUGACCAGGCUGAAGUUCAGGUAACACUGAAUGGAGGGCCGAACCGACUGAUGUUGAAAAGUGAGCGGAUGAGUUGUGGGCAGCGGAGAAAUUCCAAUCGAACCUGGAGAUAGCUGGUUCUCUUCGAAAUAGCUUUAGGGCUAGCCUCAAGUGAUGAUUAUUGGAGGUAGAGCACUGUUUGGACGAGGGGCCCUUAUCGGGUUACCGAAUUCAGACAAACUCCGAAUGCCAAUCAAUUUAACUUGGGAGUCAGAACGCGGGUGAUAAGGUCCGUGUUCGAGAGGGAAACAGCCCAGACCACCAGCUAAGGUCCCAAAAUCUAUGUUAAGUGGAAAAGGAUGUGGCGUUGCCCAGACAACUAGGAUGUUGGCUUAGAAGCAGCCAUCAUUUAAAGAGUGCGUAAUAGCUCACUAGUCGAGUGACACUGCGCCGAAAAUGUACCGGGGCUAAACAUAUUACCGAAGCUGUGGAUUGUCCGUAGGACAAUGGUAGGAGAGCGUUCUACGGGCGUUGAAGCAUGAUCGCAAGGCCAUGUGGAGCGCUUCGAAGUGAGAAUGCCGGUGUGAGUAGCGAAAGACGGGUGAGAAUCCCGUCCACCGAUUGACUAAGGUUUCCAGAGGCUGGCUCGUCCGCUCUGG